This 309-nucleotide ribosomal RNA is filed under the name uncultured Chloroflexota bacterium. Its description in RNAcentral is "bacterial SSU rRNA". It matches the Rfam family "Bacterial small subunit ribosomal RNA", at positions 28 to 351 of the family's 1533-position model. Lineage: Bacteria; Bacillati; Chloroflexota. The record is from RNAcentral.
GACGAACGCUGGCGGCGCGCCUUAUGCAUGCAAGUCGAACGGACCUUCGGGUCAGUGGCGGACGGCUGAGUAACGCGUAGGUAACCUGCCCGGUGGUGGGGGAUAACUCGCUGAAAGGUGAGCUAAUACCGCAUAAGUUUUCCGGCUGAAAUGCUGGUCUGGAAAGCAGCAAUGCGCCACCGGAGGGGCCUGCGUCCUAUCAGGUAGUUGGUGGGGUAAUGGCCUACCAAGCCAAUGACGGGUAGCUGGUCUGAGAGGACGACCAGCCAGAAGGGGACUGAGACACGGCCCUACUCCUACGGGUGGCUG